CCUACGGGAGGCAGCAGUGGGGAAUAUUGGACAAUGGGGGGAACCCUGAUCCAGCGACGCCGCGUGAGUGAAGAAGUAUUUCGGUAUGUAAAGCUCUAUCAGCAGGGAAGAAAGAAAUGACGGUACCUGACUAAGAAGCCCCGGCUAACUACGUGCCAGCAGCCGCGGUAAUACGUAGGGGGCAAGCGUUAUCCGGAUUUACUGGGUGUAAAGGGAGUGUAGACGGCGAUGCAAGUCUGAAGUGAAAGGCGGGGGCCCAACCCCCGGACGGCUUUGGAAACGGUAUAGCUGGAGUGCAGGAGAGGUAAGUGAAAUUCCUAGUGUAGGGGUAAAAUGCGUAGAUAUUAGGAGGAACACCAGUGGCGAAGGCGGCUUACUGGACUGUAACUGACGUUGAGGCUCGAAAGCGUGGGGAGCAAACAGGAUUAGAUCCCCCUGUAGU
This 442-nucleotide ribosomal RNA is filed under the name uncultured Eubacteriales bacterium. RNAcentral's name for it is "uncultured Clostridiales bacterium partial 16S ribosomal RNA". It matches the Rfam family "Bacterial small subunit ribosomal RNA", at positions 338 to 794 of the family's 1533-position model. The record is from RNAcentral. Lineage: Bacteria; Bacillati; Bacillota; Clostridia; Eubacteriales.